Molecule: ribosomal RNA, 468 nt
Filed under: uncultured bacterium
Lineage: Bacteria
Description: partial 16S ribosomal RNA
Rfam family: Bacterial small subunit ribosomal RNA
Source: RNAcentral
GACGAACGCCGGCGGCGUGCUUAACACAUGCCAGUCGAACGGAAAGGCCCUGCUUUUGUGGGGUGCUCGAGUGGCGAACGGGUGAGUAACACGUGAGUAACCUGCCCUUGACUUUGGGAUAACUUCAGGAAACUGGGGCUAAUACCGGAUAGGAGCUCCUGCUGCAUGGUGGGGGUUGGAAAGUUUCGGCGGUUGGGGAUGGACUCGCGGCUUAUCAGCUUGUUGGUGGGGUAGUGGCUUACCAAGGCUUUGACGGGUAGCCGGCCUGAGAGGGUGACCGGCCACAUUGGGACUGAGAUACGGCCCAGACUCCUACGGGAGGCAGCAGUGGGGAAUAUUGCACAAUGGGCGGAAGCCUGAUGCAGCAACGCCGCGUGCGGGAUGACGGCCUUCGGGUUGUAAACCGCUUUCGCCUGUGACGAAGCGUGAGUGACGGUAAUGGGUAAAGAAGCACCGGCUAACUACGUG